This 306-nucleotide small nuclear RNA is filed under the name Sorex araneus (European shrew). RNAcentral's name for it is "7SK RNA (ENSSARG00000017880.1)". It matches the Rfam family "7SK RNA". From Rfam's summary of the family: 7SK was discovered as an abundant small nuclear RNA in the mid-70s but a possible function has only recently been suggested. The record is from RNAcentral. Lineage: Eukaryota; Metazoa; Chordata; Mammalia; Eulipotyphla; Soricidae.
GGAUAUGAGGGUGAUCUGGCUGUGACAUCUGUCACCCCACUGACCGCCAGGGUUGAUUAGGCUGAUCUGGCUAGCUAGGCUGUUAUCCCCUUCCUCCUUCACCACUCCUUGUGUGUCCCUCCUAAAGCUGUAUGCUCUCUGGAUCAAAGAGGACAGCCUUCCUGAAAUAGAUACAGACUGGUCUUCAGUCAAAGGUAUAUGGGUAGAGCUGCGCUACCCUGCUAGAACCUCCAAACAAACAAGCUAUUUAUUAUAAGAAAAUUAUUUUGUUAUGUUUUAUAAUAUAUUUUAUUAUUUUAAAAUAUA